CAGUCGCCACGGGAAUACGUAGGUGGCGAGCGUUGUCCGGAACUAUUGGGCGUAAAGGGAGCGCAGGCGGACAUAUAAGUCCAUCUUAAAAGUGCGGGGCUCAACCCCGUGAGGGGAUGGAAACUGUAUGCCUUGAGUGCAGGAGAGGAAAGCGGAAUUCCCAGUGUAGCGGUGAAAUGCGUAGAUAUUGGGAGGAACACCAGUGGCGAAGGCGGCUUUUUGGACUGCAACUGACGCUGAGGCUCGAAAGCCAGGGGAGCGAACGGGAUUAGAUACCCGCGUAGUCCCUGUCUCUUAUACA
Molecule: ribosomal RNA, 301 nt
Filed under: uncultured bacterium
Lineage: Bacteria
Description: partial 16S ribosomal RNA
Rfam family: Bacterial small subunit ribosomal RNA
Source: RNAcentral